UCCACACUGUAAACGAUGGGGCGUACAGAGAGUUGCGAUACCGCGAGGUGGAGCCAAUCUCAUAAAGCGUCUCUCAGUUCGGAUAGCAGUCUGCAACUCGACUGCUUGAAGCUGGAAUCACUAGUAAUCGUAGAUCAGCAAUGCUACGGUGAAUACGUUCCCGGGUCUUGUACUCACCGCCCGUCACACCAUGGGAGUUGAUUUCACCCGAAAUUGGGAAGCUAACCUUCGGGAGGCUACCACUUACGGUGGAAUUAGCGACUGGGG
Molecule: ribosomal RNA, 267 nt
Filed under: uncultured bacterium
Lineage: Bacteria
Description: partial 16S ribosomal RNA
Rfam family: Bacterial small subunit ribosomal RNA
Source: RNAcentral